This 267-nucleotide ribosomal RNA is filed under the name uncultured bacterium. Its description in RNAcentral is "partial 16S ribosomal RNA". It matches the Rfam family "Bacterial small subunit ribosomal RNA", at positions 87 to 354 of the family's 1533-position model. The record is from RNAcentral.
UUGACUGAGCGGCGGACGGGUGAGUAACGCGUGGGUAACCUGCCUCAUACAGGGGGAUAACAGUUAGAAAUGACCGCUAAUACCGCAUAAGACCACAGGGCCGCAUGGCCCGGUGGUAAAAACUCCGGUGGUAUGAGAUGGACCCGCGUCUGAUUAGCUGGUUGGUGGGGUAACGGCCUACCAAGGCGACGAUCAGUAGCCGACCUGAGAGGGUGACCGGCCACAUUGGGACUGAGACACGGCCCAAACUCCUACGGGAGGCAGCAG